ACGGGAGGCAGCAGUGGGGAAUAUUGGACAAUGGGGGAAACCCUGAUCCAGCGACGCCGCGUGAGUGAAGAAGUAUUUCGGUAUGUAAAGCUCUAUCAGCAAGGAAGAAAAUGACGGUACUUGACUAAGAAGCUCCGGCUAAAUACGUGCCAGCAGCCGCGGUAAUACGUAUGGAGCAAGCGUUAUCCGGAUUUACUGGGUGUAAAGGGAGCGUAGACGGCGAAGCAAGUCUGAAGUGAAAUGCCGGGGCUUAACCCCGGAACUGCUUUGGAAACUGUUUUGCUAGAGUGCAGGAGAGGUAAGCGGAAUUCCUAGUGUAGCGGUGAAAUGCGUAGAUAUUAGGAGGAACACCAGUGGCGAAGGCGGCUUUCUGGACUGUUACUGACACUGAGGCACGAAAGUGUGGGGAGCAAACAGGAUUAGAUACCCUGGUA
RNAcentral lists this ribosomal RNA (434 nucleotides) under uncultured Lachnospiraceae bacterium. Its description in RNAcentral is "bacterial SSU rRNA". It matches the Rfam family "Bacterial small subunit ribosomal RNA", at positions 341 to 792 of the family's 1533-position model. The record is from RNAcentral. Lineage: Bacteria; Bacillati; Bacillota; Clostridia; Lachnospirales; Lachnospiraceae.